CGAUGUUUGGGUAUUGGCCAAACAUGGUUGCAACGGGUAACGGAGGGUUAGGGCUCGACCCCGGAGAAGGAGCCUGAGAAACGGCUACUACAUCCAAGGAAGGCAGCAGGCGCGCAAAUUACCCAAUCCCGACACGGGGAGGUAGUGACAAUAAAUACUGAUACAGGGCUCUUUUGGGUCUUGUAAUUGGAAUGAGUACAAUUUAAAUCCCUUAACGAGGAACAAUUGGAGGGCAAGUCUGGUGCCAGCAGCCGCGGUAAUUCCAGCUCCAAUAGCGUAUAUUAAAGUUGUUGUGGUUAAAAAGCUCGUAGUUGAACCUUGGGCCUGGCCGUCCGGUCCGCCUCACCGCGUGUACUGGCUCGGCCGGGCCUUUCCCUCUGUGGAACCCCAUGCCCUUCACUGGGCGUGGCGGGGAAACAGGACUUUUACUGUGAAAAAAUUAGAGUGCUCCAGGCAGGCCUAUGCUCGAAUACAUUAGCAUGGAAUAAUAGAAUAGGACGUGUGGUUCUAUUUUGUUGGUUUCUAGGACCGCCGUAAUGAUUAAUAGGGACAGUCGGGGGCAUCAGUAUUCAAUUGUCAGAGGUGAAAUUCUUGGAUUUAUUGAAGACUAACUACUGCGAAAGCAUUUGCCAAGGAUGUUUUCAUUAAUCAGGAACGAAAGUUAGGGGAUCGAAGACGAUCAGAUACCGUCGUAGUCUUAACCAUAAACUAUGCCGACUAGGGAUCGUUUCGGUGUUAUUUUUUGACCCGUUCGGCACCUUACGAG
Molecule: ribosomal RNA, 766 nt
Filed under: Fusarium equiseti
Lineage: Eukaryota; Fungi; Ascomycota; Sordariomycetes; Hypocreales; Nectriaceae
Description: SSU rRNA
Rfam family: Eukaryotic small subunit ribosomal RNA
Source: RNAcentral